CUGUCCACUGUUGACAAUUGUAGAUUUGGCUUUGGCAACUGUUGACGAGGGGUGAAGGUGGUGUCAACUGUUGACAAUGGAGGAGGGUGUGUGUCUGCUGUUGACAAUUGUGGAUGUGGCUUUGGCAACUGUUGACAAGGGUGAAGGCGGUAUCAACUGUUGACAAUCGAUGUGGUGUGUCCGCUGUUGACAAUUGUGGAUGUGGCUUUAGCAACUGUUGACGAGGGGUGAAGGUGGUGUCAACUGUUGACAAUGGAGGAAGGGGUGUGUCUGCUGUUGACAAUUGUGGAUGUGGCUUUGUCUACUGUUGACAAGGGGGUGAAGGUGGUGUCAAGUGUUGACAAUGGAGGCGGGGGGUUGGGGUGUCAGAUGUUGACAAUUGUGGAUGUGGCUUUGUCAAAUGUUGACGAGGUUGAAAGCGGUGUCAACUAUUGACAAUGGAGGAAGGGGUGUGAAAGUAUCGAGGGCUUCCCCAACUUUCAUUUUCAAAAUCAUGUGUUAGCCCAGGCUUUUUUUUAUAAUGGUAUCUACGCCCCUAUCAAUAUCUCUGGGGAGUUAUAUUACAGGGUAACCCAGAUGACAAGAGCAAGAUGAGAUAAUAUUUUUGACUUCUGAAACAUUAAUAAUUUUGAACAUUGACAAACUGUGUCAUAUGCUCGGUUUAUUUCAUACCACACACAUAGGCCUAUUAACACUCAUGUUCAUAAUUGCAAUAAUCACAACACAGUAUUGUGUGCACACUUAAUUCCUUUUUUCUCUGUUUCCAAGUAAUACUCACAAGUACAAUACCAGAACAGGCUUAACCCCCUCUGCAGCAUCUGCAGGCACGAUUAUCAGCACAGUGUAUAAGGUAUAAUUACAGUAAUUCUGAUCUCACAACCUAAUCAGCUGCUGAUCCAAAGUCGAACCACUAUUUGCCUGUUCUAGACUCUCCCUGUACUCACGUAUCAUGUGCGGCACAUUGUACAUUACUAGAGUUGGACAGCAAUGGUUUUUAUCUUUCAGUUUUACCCAAAACAGAUUCUCAAAAAUAUGCCAUGUUUAUAUUUUAAUGACAUAUUUGAUUAUUGAACUGUUUGAUCGCCAUUCUAGAAGUUAGAUAUCAACAAAGCUGCAUGCUUCAUCGAAAGUUGCUAACAACAUCAUGUUAAUACAGUUCACAUAAGCUUGCAAUAUCUUAAAAGCAAUCAUUUUUUAUGUUAUUUGUUUGUUUGUUGGUCAACGCCUCACUCAGCAAUAUUCCAGCCAUAUGGAGGCAGUCUGUAAACAAUUGGACCAGACAAUCCAGUGGUCAACAUCAUGAGCAUUGAUCUACACAACUGGGAUAUGAUGACAUGUGUCGGACAGCGAGUCUCACCCCUCAUCCCUUUACCCGCCUCUUACCACAACAAUUUUCUAUGUUAAAUGUGGACUGGUCCAUGUUAUAUGUGGACUGGUCCAUGUUAUAUGUGGACUGGUCCAUGUUAUAUGUGGACUGGUCCAUGUGAUUGUGGACUGGUCCAUGUUAUAUGUGAACUGGUCCAUGUUAUAUGUGGACUGGUCCAUGUGAUUGUUGAUAGUUUUGUUUAUUUAAUCAUGGAAGAGUGCAAUAUUCUACAUUUCUUAUUCCUGUUUCAAUUGUUGAUGGUCUUUGAAGCUUCCCAAGUGUGUGAGUGAGGUAACAUUGAAAACUGCAUUGGCGGACUCUUAUCAUACAGUAUUACAUUGUUCUAAAAAUAUUUAUCUUAACACAUAAAUUUGCUAUUUUCUUUAUUUACAUAUAUGUACAAUAUAUACAUUUUCACAACAAAAUACAGUUUUAGGUGUAACUCAUGAGAACAUAAUUCCAUUAUUUUGUACAUUGUCAAUAAAAUGGAAAUUUAUCCAGUUAAUUAAACAAAUGCAUUAGUAAGCCAAAUUAAAUGAGAUGACAUUGUCUAUUAUUGUCUCUUGUAUAUUCAAUAAAGUGUUUAAUUAUGCUUAAGAA
Molecule: long non-coding RNA, 1966 nt
Filed under: Haliotis rubra (blacklip abalone)
Lineage: Eukaryota; Metazoa; Mollusca; Gastropoda; Lepetellida; Haliotidae
Description: uncharacterized LOC124282804
Source: RNAcentral